Molecule: small RNA, 102 nt
Filed under: Klebsiella pneumoniae
Lineage: Bacteria; Pseudomonadati; Pseudomonadota; Gammaproteobacteria; Enterobacterales; Enterobacteriaceae
Also listed under: 1 other name
Description: partial RtT sRNA
Rfam family: RtT RNA
About the family: This family represents a bacterial cis-regulatory element known as RtT RNA. The exact function of RtT is unknown although it is thought that it may be involved in changing the cellular response in relation to amino acid starvation.
Source: RNAcentral
UGCAUCUGAGGCCAGUGAGGAUGAGAACCUCCGGGGGCAGGAGGUUCGACUCGAGCGAAGCGAGAGAACGUUGCGUCAGCAACGGCCCGCAGGGCGAGCCAC